Pseudonaja textilis is the source of this 155-nucleotide non-coding RNA. NCBI's taxonomy places the organism in Eukaryota, Metazoa, Chordata, Lepidosauria, Squamata, Elapidae. The record is from RefSeq and is a predicted model, not a curated record.
GGUAUAUAAGUCUAAGUGCUAUUGCUAUUCCUUCAACUAUGUUGGAUAUGACAGCUCCAAGAACUCCAAGCUGGCAUUGCCUUUGGCUGGGAAUUUUGCAAAUUCUAGCAUCAACAUCUGGAAGGUCCUAAGUUAGCUGAUUUUACAUACUCUAA